RNAcentral lists this ribosomal RNA (356 nucleotides) under uncultured fungus. RNAcentral describes it as "eukaryotic LSU rRNA". The stretch from base 1 to 113 matches the Rfam family "5.8S ribosomal RNA", at positions 42 to 154 of the family's 154-position model. The record is from RNAcentral. Lineage: Eukaryota; Fungi.
AACGCAGCGAAGGGCGAUAAGUAAUGUGAAUUGCAGAAUUCCGUGAAUCAUCAAAUCUUUGAACGCACAUUGCGCCUUCCGGUAAUCCGGAAGGCAUGCCUGUCUGAGCGUCAUUACACCAUUCAAAACCUCUCUUUUAUUAGAAGUGGAUUGGUUUUGGAAGCAAACGUUUGGUUUUACUACUAGUGUUUCUUCUGUAAUGCAUCAAUCAGCAUUUACUGUUCCUUAGUUGUAGCAAGCAUUUUCUCAACUUCAAGGUGGCAGCUGAUGUUAUACUUUUGAUUGUUAAUAGUCCUUUGGGAUUGUUCUCUUUUAAGUUUGACCUCAGAUCAGGUAGGAAUACCCGCUGAACUUAA